UAACAAGGUUUCCGUAGGUGAACCUGCGGAAGGAUCAUUGUCGAAACCUGCCCAGCAGAACGACCCGCGAACUUGUGAUCACUCUUGAGGGGAUCCGGUGCACGUCGCUCGAUCUCCGCGAGUUUGAGCGUCGUGAGCCGCCUUCCCGCCCGUCGCGUUGGGCGAGCYGUGUCUCGUUCCUCGUGGCGAAACAACGAACCCCGGCGCGAACUGCGCCAAGGAAAAUCCAACGAGGAAGCACGCUGCCGCCGGCCCCGUACGCGGUGCGCCUGCGGGAUGCGUUGCCUUCUUUCAACAAAAAAUACGAAACGACUCUCGGCAACGGAUAUCUCGGCUCUCGCAUCGAU
RNAcentral lists this unclassified non-coding RNA (347 nucleotides) under Guarea pubescens. RNAcentral describes it as "sequence contains ITS1". The record is from RNAcentral. Lineage: Eukaryota; Viridiplantae; Streptophyta; Magnoliopsida; Sapindales; Meliaceae.